Molecule: microRNA, 21 nt
Filed under: Macaca mulatta (Rhesus monkey)
Lineage: Eukaryota; Metazoa; Chordata; Mammalia; Primates; Cercopithecidae
Description: mml-miR-4803
Source: miRBase by way of RNAcentral
UAACAUAAUAGUGUGGACUGA